CGCUAUCACUCCUACGGGAGGCAGCAGUGGGGGAAUAUUGCACAAUGGGGGAAACCCUGAUGCAGCCAUGCCGCGUGUGUGAAGAAAGGCCUUCGGGUUGUAAAGCACUUUCAGUAGGGAGGAAGGUAGUGUAGUUAACACCUGCAUUAUUUGACGUUACCUACAGAAGAAGCACCGGCUAACUCCGUGCCAGCAGCCGCGGUAAUACGGAGGGUGCGAGCGUUAAUCGGAAUUACUGGGCGUAAAGCGCAUGCAGGCGGCCUGUUAAGUCAGAUGUGAAAGCCCGGGGCUUAACCUCGGAAUUGCAUUUGAAACUGGCAGGCUAGAGUCUUGUAGAGGGGGUAGAAUUUCAGGUGUAGCGGUGAAAUGCGUAGAGAUCUGAAGGAAUACCAGUGGCGAAGGCGGCCCCCUGGACAAAGACUGACGCUCAGAUGCGAAAGCGUGGGGAGCAAACAGGAUUAGAUACCCUGGUAG
Molecule: ribosomal RNA, 474 nt
Filed under: uncultured bacterium
Lineage: Bacteria
Description: bacterial SSU rRNA
Rfam family: Bacterial small subunit ribosomal RNA
Source: RNAcentral